CAGAAACUUAAAUGAAUUGACGGGGCCCGCACAAGCGGUGGAGCAUGUGGUUUAAUUCGAUGAUACGCGAGGAACCUUACCUGGGCUCAAAUGUAUGUUGACGUAUUCUGAAAGGGAUACUUCUUCGGACAAUAUACAAGGUGCUGCAUGGUUGUCGUCAGCUCGUGCCGUGAGGUGUCGGGUUAAGUCCCAUAACGAGCGCAACCCCUAUCAUUAGUUGCCAUCAGGUCAAGCUGGGGACUCUAAUGAAACUGCCUACGCAAGUAGUGAGGAAGUGGGGAUGACGUCAAAUCAGCACGGCCCUUACGUCCAGGGCUACACACGUGCUACAAUGGCCGGUACAAAGGGCAGCUACCUGGUGACAGGAUGCUAAUCUCAAAAGCCGGUCUCAGUUCGGAUCGGAGUCUGCAACUCGACUCCAUGAAGUUGGAAUCGCUAGUAAUCGUGGAUCAGCAUGCCACGGUGAAUACGUUCCCGGGCCUU
This 483-nucleotide ribosomal RNA is filed under the name uncultured Sphingobacteriales bacterium. RNAcentral describes it as "bacterial SSU rRNA". It matches the Rfam family "Bacterial small subunit ribosomal RNA", at positions 894 to 1382 of the family's 1533-position model. Lineage: Bacteria; Pseudomonadati; Bacteroidota; Sphingobacteriia; Sphingobacteriales. The record is from RNAcentral.